CGCCGCUUGUGUAGUUCUUCCCGAUGCCUCCCCAUCCUCCAUCAGCCACCGCUGUGGGCUGUGGUUCUGGGCCGGUCACAGGUCGCUGCUGAGGAGCAGAGGAGGACGGCGGGGAGGGAGAAGGAGCACAGGAGGACGGCACUGGGGGAAGGAGAAGCGAAGCCGGAGGCCGAGACGGUGCUCGCGUCAUGUGUCGGACGCUGCUCGUCGGCCCUAGUUGUCGUCCUCAAUCUAGUAUGAUGUGUGAAGAUCUGAGACAAAAAAGAAGAGGAAGAAUUUUGACGAAGAGUUGGGUCAUGGGGAACAAAGGUCAUCAGAACAUACAUAACUGUUGCCGAAGCCCUCUUGCUAAAGAGGAAAGCACAAGAAGAUAUGAUCGAAUUAAAUGGGUAGUGCAUUUAUCUUGUUGGUUAGUUCCCUCAUCGGCCUACUUACUGUUACCUGCGAGUUUCAGGUAUAAUACUCCCCCCCCCCCUAGCAAAGGGUGAAUUCUCUGGUUUUGAUUGCCAGGAGAAACUCCAUGAGUCUUGAGGAUUUUCGGGAAUGUUGGAAUCAGUGGUGUUUUGUUUUUGAUGAUAUUAUCCGAUAGAGGUGACAAGGAGAGAAGAUGCUAGCUCAAUGGUGCUGGCCAUGAAGGAUUUUGGUGCAUCCAAGGAUAUAACCAACAUAAACACAAUGCUUACAAGGAGAUAUCGGCUCAUUUGAUUGCUAUAUUGGCUUUGGUCACCCUUGCGAGGCUCCUUAUCUUUGAAGCAAGGGUCGGAUGCUCUUUGGACUCAGGAAGACGAACAUGAUAGAAAAAGAAAGGGAUCAACCUUGCCAUGACCCCAUAUUUCUGUAGGCUAAUAUCCCUUAUUUGCACUAUCCUACACCGAAUACUUAUAGGGUUAUGUGCCUUUGCCAUGCAGCACAUGUCAAUGGCAGUUCAGGAAGAGAUGACAUCACA
This is a long non-coding RNA of Triticum aestivum (bread wheat), 946 nucleotides long. RefSeq lists it as uncharacterized. The transcript has 6 exons. The record is from RefSeq and is a predicted model, not a curated record. Lineage: Eukaryota; Viridiplantae; Streptophyta; Magnoliopsida; Poales; Poaceae.